Molecule: ribosomal RNA, 636 nt
Filed under: Triticum aestivum (bread wheat)
Lineage: Eukaryota; Viridiplantae; Streptophyta; Magnoliopsida; Poales; Poaceae
Description: partial small subunit ribosomal RNA
Source: RNAcentral
AUGUUGAUGCAAGACUACUUCGCGAACAAUCCUACCUAUCCAUCGAACCUCUUCCGGAGAAGGUAUCGAAUGCGCCGAUCCCUCUUCGUAAAAAUUGUGCAAGCUUGCGAGGCCAAUUCUAGGAUUUUUACUCAAAGGAGAAACGUCGCGGGUUUGUUGGGUUUUAGAGCAUAUCAAAAAAUCUCCGCAUCCAUGCGGGUGAUUGCUUAUUGCGUUCCGUCUGACUGUGCUGACGAGUAUCUUCGCAUUGGCGAAGAUACUACAAUUGAGUUAGUGUGUAGGUUCGCCAAAGUGAUCAUCCGCGUCUUUGGUCCUGUCUAUUUUCGUGCACCCAACGAGGAAGACACCAAAAAAUUGAUGGCAGCAAAUGAGAAACGAGGUUGGCCCAGCAUGCUAGGAAUCAUUGACUGCAUGCAUUGGACUUGGAAAAACUGUCCGAAGGCAUGGCACGGGCAGUAUUGUGGCAAGUCUCGUGAUGCAACAAUUGCGCCAGAGGCCGUUGCAUCUGAGGAUUUAUGGAUUUGGCAUUGUUUUUUGGUAUGUCGGGUACUCUCAACAAUAUCAAUGUGUUGCAACGGCCUCAUUUGUUUGCUAGACUUGCUAGUGAUGAUGCUCCUUCUUGCAACUUCACGGUGA